UCAGUAACUGGAAUCUGUCCCUGCUGUGUGUCUCCGAUCGCAGGGUCAGGCUGGUUACUGCAC
MicroRNA precursor from Gadus morhua (Atlantic cod), 63 nucleotides. The record is from Ensembl. NCBI's taxonomy places the organism in Eukaryota, Metazoa, Chordata, Actinopteri, Gadiformes, Gadidae.